GAUGAACGCUGGCGGCGUGCCUAAUACAUGCAAGUCGAGCGAACAGGCGAGGAGCUUGCUCCUCUGACGUUAGCGGCGGACGGGUGAGUAACACGUGGAUAACCUACCUAUAAGACUGGGAUAACUUCGGGAAACCGGAGCUAAUACCGGAUAAUAUAUUGAACCGCAUGGUUCAAUAGUGAAAGACGGUUUUGCUGUCACUUAUAGAUGGAUCCGCGCCGCAUUAGCUUGUUGGUAAGGUAACGGCUUACCAAGGCAACGAUGCGUAGCCGACCUGAGAGGGUGAUCGGCCACACUGGAACUGAGACACGGUCCAGACUCCUACGGGAGGCAGCAGUAGGGAAUCUUCCGCAAUGGGCGAAAGCUUGACGGAGCAACGCCGCGUGAGUGAUGAAGGUCUUCGGAUCGUAAAACUCUGUUAUUAGGGAAGAACAAAUGUGUAAGUAACUAUGCACGUCUUGACGGUACCUAAUCAGAAAGCCACGGCUAACUACGUG
RNAcentral lists this ribosomal RNA (497 nucleotides) under uncultured bacterium. RNAcentral's name for it is "partial 16S ribosomal RNA". It matches the Rfam family "Bacterial small subunit ribosomal RNA", at positions 28 to 507 of the family's 1533-position model. The record is from RNAcentral.